Cyprinus carpio carpio is the source of this 338-nucleotide long non-coding RNA. The record is from Ensembl. NCBI's taxonomy places the organism in Eukaryota, Metazoa, Chordata, Actinopteri, Cypriniformes, Cyprinidae.
UGAUGAACGGUAACAUUUGCCGGGACCACAGCAGCCAUCGAUCACAUCGACGUACAGCUAGGAGCUGAUGGAUGAGAUGCUGUUACACUCAGUAAAUGGAUUAAGUGCUUUUUUUCCUGGCCCAACUCUACCGUUCUGGAAUGCAGAGAUUGGAUUCGGUUUGACAGGCAGGCGCUUCAAGAGGAGGUGAAGGCAGCUUGAGGAGGUCGAGUGAGGCUAACGUGGGAAGAAGUGAAGCGAAAUGCUAACAGACACAGCCCACUGCUCUUCCCCUCUGGCAGGACAACUCUCCAUAACCCUACCCAGACCUCGCUGCAUCCCCCAUCACUACAGAACCG